Molecule: transfer RNA, 69 nt
Filed under: Zoroaster ophiactis
Lineage: Eukaryota; Metazoa; Echinodermata; Asteroidea; Forcipulatida; Zoroasteridae
Description: tRNA-Pro
Rfam family: tRNA
About the family: Transfer RNA (tRNA) molecules are approximately 80 nucleotides in length. Their secondary structure includes four short double-helical elements and three loops (D, anti-codon, and T loops). Further hydrogen bonds mediate the characteristic L-shaped molecular structure. tRNAs have two regions of fundamental functional importance: the anti-codon, which is responsible for specific mRNA codon recognition, and the 3' end, to which the tRNAs corresponding amino acid is attached (by aminoacyl-tRNA synthetases). tRNAs cope with the degeneracy of the genetic code in two manners: having more than one tRNA (with a specific anti-codon) for a particular amino acid; and 'wobble' base-pairing, i.e. permitting non-standard base-pairing at the 3rd anti-codon position.
Source: RNAcentral
CAGAAAGUAGUUUAAUUAGAAUAGUAGCUUUGGGGGUUAUUGGUAUGAGUUUGAUUCUUGUUUUUCUGA